RNAcentral lists this ribosomal RNA (497 nucleotides) under uncultured bacterium. RNAcentral's name for it is "partial 16S ribosomal RNA". It matches the Rfam family "Bacterial small subunit ribosomal RNA", at positions 28 to 507 of the family's 1533-position model. The record is from RNAcentral.
GAUGAACGCUGGCGGCGUGCCUAAUACAUGCAAGUCGAGCGAACAGACGAGGAGCUUGCUCCUCUGACGUUAGCGGCGGACGGGUGAGUAACACGUGGAUAACCUACCUAUAAGACUGGGAUAACUUCGGGAAACCGCAGCUAAUACCGGAUAAUAUAUUGAACCGCAUGGUUCAAUAGUGAAAGACGGUUUUGCUGUCACUUAUAGAUGGAUCCGCGCCGCAUUAGCUAGUUGGUAAGGUAACGGCUUACCAAGGCAACGAUGCGUAGCCGACCUGAGAGGGUGAUCGGCCACACUGGAACUGAGACACGGACCAGACUCCUACGGGAGGCAGCAGUAGGGAAUCUUCCGCAAUGGGCGAAAGCCUGACGGAGCAACGCCGCGUGAGUGAUGAAGGUCUUCGGAUCGUAAAGCUCUGUUAUUAGGGAAGAACAAAUGUGUAAGUAACUAUGCGCGUCUUGACGGUACCUAAUCAGGAAGCCACGGCUAACUACGUG